RNAcentral lists this RNase P RNA (345 nucleotides) under Ruminococcus sp. RNAcentral's name for it is "RNase P RNA component class A". It matches the Rfam family "Bacterial RNase P class A". Rfam says of the family: Ribonuclease P (RNase P) is a ubiquitous endoribonuclease, found in archaea, bacteria and eukarya as well as chloroplasts and mitochondria. Its best characterised activity is the generation of mature 5'-ends of tRNAs by cleaving the 5'-leader elements of precursor-tRNAs. Cellular RNase Ps are ribonucleoproteins. Lineage: Bacteria; Bacillati; Bacillota; Clostridia; Eubacteriales; Oscillospiraceae. The record is from RNAcentral.
UGAGCGGACUAUACAGCAGCGGAAACGCUUUUAGUUUACGAGGAAAGUCCGGGCAUCACAGAGCAGGGUAGCUGUUAACGACAGCCGAGGGCGACCUCAGGGCAAGUGCAACAGAAAUAAACUUCCGUUUCGGCGGUAAAGGUGGAAAGGCGAGGUAAAAGCUCACCGGAGUGCAGGAGACUGCACUGCCAUGUAAACCCUACCUGAUGCAACGUCUAUUGGUGCUUUGUAUCUUAACGUCUGCUCGGCGGAUAUGAAGUAAUGACGGCUUUAACCGUUCGGCGACGGGCGGUAUAGAUAAAUUGCUGUACACGACAGAACCCGGCUUAUCGGUUCGGUCACACA